UACGAAGGGGGCUAGCGUUGCUCGGAAUUACUGGGCGUAAAGCGCGUGUAGGCGGCAGGGCAUGUCGGAUGUGAAAUCCCGUGGCUCAACCACGGAAGUGCACCCGAAACUGCCCAGCUUGAGUCUCGGAGAGGAAGGCGGAAUGCUUGGUGUAGAGGUGAAAUGCGCAGAUAUCAGGAGGAACACCGGUGGCGAAGGCGGUUCUCUGGGCAUGUCCUGACGCUGAGGAGCGAAAGUGUGGGGAGCGAACAGG
RNAcentral lists this ribosomal RNA (253 nucleotides) under uncultured bacterium. Its description in RNAcentral is "partial 16S ribosomal RNA". It matches the Rfam family "Bacterial small subunit ribosomal RNA", at positions 524 to 776 of the family's 1533-position model. The record is from RNAcentral.